CAUAGUCAAGCACCAGAGAGCCCAGUUAGUGUUGUAGUGGGAGACCAUACGAGAAUCCUGGGUGCUGUAAUC
Molecule: ribosomal RNA, 72 nt
Filed under: Yarrowia lipolytica CLIB122
Lineage: Eukaryota; Fungi; Ascomycota; Dipodascomycetes; Dipodascales
Description: rRNA YALI0_A08902r
Source: RNAcentral